Molecule: ribosomal RNA, 1480 nt
Filed under: metagenome
Description: bacterial SSU rRNA
Rfam family: Bacterial small subunit ribosomal RNA
Source: RNAcentral
AGAGUUUGAUCAUGGCUCAGGACGAACGCUGGCGGCGUGCCUAACACAUGCAAGUCGAACGGGGUGAGGCCCUUCGGGACCUUUACCUAGUGGCAAACGGGUGAGUAACGCGUGAGGAACCUGCCUUUCAGUGGGGGACAACAGUUGGAAACGACUGCUAAUACCGCAUAAAGCUUUUGGGAGACAUCUCCUGAAAGCCAAAGCUUAAUGUGCUGAAAGAUGGCCUCGCGUCUGAUUAGCUAGUUGGUGGGGUAACGGCCCACCAAGGCGACGAUCAGUAGCCGGUCUGAGAGGAUGAACGGCCACAUUGGGACUGAGAUACGGCCCAGACUCCUACGGGAGGCAGCAGUGGGGAAUAUUGGGCAAUGGGCGAAAGCCUGACCCAGCAACGCCGCGUGAAGGAAGAAGGCCUUCGGGUUGUAAACUUCUUUUACCAGGGACGAAGGACGUGACGGUACCUGGAGAAAAAGCAACGGCUAACUACGUGCCAGCAGCCGCGGUGAUACGUAGGUUGCAAGCGUUGUCCGGAUUUACUGGGUGUAAAGGGCGUGUAGGCGGAGAUGCAAGUUAGGAGUGAAAUCUAUGGGCUCAACCCAUAAACUGCUUCUAAAACUGUAUCCCUUGAGUAUCGGAGAGGCAAGCGGGAUUCCUAGUGUAGCGGUGAAAUGCGUAGAUAUUAGGAGGAACACCAGUGGCGAAGGCGGCUUGCUGGACGACAACUGACGCUGAGGCGCGAAAGCGUGGGGAGCAAACAGGAUUAGAUACCCUGGUAGUCCACGCUGUAAACGAUGAAUACUAGGUGUGGGGGGACUGACCCCCUCCGUGCCGCAGUUAACACAAUAAGUAUUCCACCUGGGGAGUACGACCGCAAGGUUGAAACUCAAAGGAAUUGACGGGGGCCCGCACAAGCAGUGGAUUAUGUGGUUUAAUUCGACGCAACGCGAAGAACCUUACCAGGACUUGACAUCCAACUAACGAAGUAGAGAUACAUCAGGUGCCCUUCGGGGAAAGUUGAGACAGGUGGUGCAUGGUUGUCGUCAGCUCGUGUCGUGAGAUGUUGGGUUAAGUCCCGCAACGAGCGCAACCCCUAUUUUCAGUAGCCAGCAUUUUGGAUGGGCACUCUGGAGAGACUGCCCGGGAUCACCGGGAGGAAGGUGGGGAUGACGUCAAAUCAUCAUGCCCCUUAUGAUCUGGGCUACACACGUGCUACAAUGGCUGUUACAGAGAGAAGCGAAUCCGCGAGGAAGAGCAAACCUCAAAAAGGCAGUCUCAGUUCGGAUUGUAGUCUGCAACUCGACUACAUGAAGCUGGAAUCGCUAGUAAUCGCGAAUCAGAAUGUCGCGGUGAAUACGUUCCCGGGUCUUGUACACACCGCCCGUCACACCAUGGGAGUUGGAAAUGCCCGAAGUCAGUGACCCAACCGCAAGGAGGGAGCUGCCGAAGGCAGGUUCGAUGACUGGGGUGAAGUCGUAACAAGGUA